Molecule: transfer RNA, 87 nt
Filed under: Alphaproteobacteria bacterium
Lineage: Bacteria; Pseudomonadati; Pseudomonadota; Alphaproteobacteria
Description: tRNA-Leu
Rfam family: tRNA
About the family: Transfer RNA (tRNA) molecules are approximately 80 nucleotides in length.
Source: RNAcentral
GCCUCUGUGGCGGAACUGGUAGACGCGACAGACUCAAAAUCUGUUAUCCGUAAGGGUGUGGGGGUUCGAGUCCCUCCAGGGGCACCA